GACGAACGCUGGCGGCGUGCUUAACACAUGCAAGUCGAACGGGAAGGCCCUGCUUUUGUGGGGUGCUCGAGUGGCGAACGGGUGAGUAACACGUGAGUAACCUGCCCUUGACUUUGGGAUAACUUCAGGAAACUGGGGCUAAUACCGGAUAGGAGCUCCUGCUGCAUGGUGGGGGUUGGAAAGUUUCGGCGGUUGGGGAUGGAAUCGCGGCUUAUCAGCUUGUUGGUGGGGUAGUGGCUUACCAAGGCUUUGACGGGUAGCCGGCCUGAGAGGGUGACCGGCCACAUUGGGACUGAGAUACGGCCCAGACUCCUACGGGAGGCAGCAGUGGGGAAUAUUGCACAAUGGGCUGAAGCCUGAUGCAGCAACGCCGCGUGCGGGAUGACGGCCUUCGGGUUGUAAACCGCUUUCGCCUGUGACGAAGCGUGAGUGACGGUAAUGGGUAAAGAAGCACCGGCUAACUACGUG
This 468-nucleotide ribosomal RNA is filed under the name uncultured bacterium. RNAcentral describes it as "partial 16S ribosomal RNA". It matches the Rfam family "Bacterial small subunit ribosomal RNA", at positions 28 to 507 of the family's 1533-position model. The record is from RNAcentral.